RNAcentral lists this ribosomal RNA (253 nucleotides) under uncultured bacterium. RNAcentral describes it as "partial 16S ribosomal RNA". It matches the Rfam family "Bacterial small subunit ribosomal RNA", at positions 524 to 776 of the family's 1533-position model. The record is from RNAcentral.
AACGUAGGUUCCGAGCGUUAUCCGGAUUUACUGGGCGUAAAGCGCGUUCAGGCGGUUUGGCAAGUCGGGCAUGAAAUCUCUCGGCUCAACCGGGAGAGGUUGUCCGAUACUGCUGGACUUGAGGGCAGUAGAGGGUGGUGGAAUUCCGGGUGUAGUGGUGAAAUGCGUAGAUAUCCGGAGGAACACCAGUGGCGAAAGCGGCCACCUGGACUGCACCUGACGCUGACGCGCGAAAGCUAGGGGAGCGAACGGG